CCUGUAGCUCAACUGGAUAGAGCAUCAGACUACGAAUCUGAGGGUUGUAGGUUCGACUCCUGUCAGG
RNAcentral lists this transfer RNA (67 nucleotides) under human gut metagenome. It matches the Rfam family "tRNA". Rfam says of the family: Transfer RNA (tRNA) molecules are approximately 80 nucleotides in length. Their secondary structure includes four short double-helical elements and three loops (D, anti-codon, and T loops). RNAcentral also lists the same sequence under 1 other name. The record is from RNAcentral.